GUGAAGGUGCCAGGUCUGAGGGGAGUGGUCUUCAGGCACCCUGGUUUCUGGAUGAGGAAACCACAGCCCACGGUGCACGACGGCCUGAGUGCCAGGUAGUUAUAGGAGACAGAGCCAGCACUGGAACCCAGCAUGCCCUCCCAGCUCUGGGCCUAGAGCCAAACUUCUUGAGUGCAAAGGGGAGAGAGGGCCUGCAAGACAGUGAGCUGGAAUGACAUGCGCUCCCCAAAGGCUUUCUGUGCCACACCUGGUUGGUGUUCAUGCCUGGGAUGCUCGUGGUGGGGGCAGGAGGGAAGAGGACCUCAGGACCAGGGUGGAAGCCACGCAGAAUGAGUCAACGGGCUCGCAUCAUCACUGACUGUCCCUGGGACAGAUGGUCAACACCACAAUCCAACCAACCUGCCUUCCACGACUGCUCUAGCACCAUGCCCCCCCGGCGUGAGUGAAUUUUGAAAACCAAGGCCACCCUCCUGAGGUUACCUGCCUAAUAAGCUUCACCACACAGCUUUUUGCAGCUAGGAAAAUGGACGCAUUUUCAUCUUCCCCACUCUGCUCAACGGUGCGCCUGGGUGGCUCUAAUCCAUCCCUCUGAAUCCCUAGACAUCACUUUCUUUUACAAAGAAUCAAAAUACAGAAUUCUGACCUGUGUAUGAUGCAGGCUGAGUUAUAGCUUUCCCCUGGCACCUCUAACUGAAAGUGAAAUUCCCUUAGACUUGGGAAAUUCAUUGCACUAUUUUAUGGUAUUGAUUUAUUUUAAACUUGGCUGGCAGUUUUAAGGCCUGCCCUGCCUCUGAAUCCUACAAAUGCUGGAGGAGGUCUCCAUUUGCUUUCAUUUUGUACUACCUCCGAGGACGUGCUAGUGGAAAUGAGCAAAGGGGCUGGAGCUGCUGCUCUACAUUUUCC
Molecule: long non-coding RNA, 903 nt
Organism: Talpa occidentalis (Iberian mole)
Lineage: Eukaryota; Metazoa; Chordata; Mammalia; Eulipotyphla; Talpidae
Exons: 3
Source: RefSeq, a predicted model, not a curated record